CCAUCUACUCGGUAGAUUACUUGGUAGAUUUCCCCAAAUGCGGGAAACUCAACUGCAUAAUUUGUGGUAGUGGGGAAUUGCUUCCCCU
This is a small nuclear RNA of Cavia aperea (Brazilian guinea pig), 88 nucleotides long. Its record names the gene U1. It matches the Rfam family "U1 spliceosomal RNA". From Rfam's summary of the family: U1 is a small nuclear RNA (snRNA) component of the spliceosome (involved in pre-mRNA splicing). Its 5' end forms complementary base pairs with the 5' splice junction, thus defining the 5' donor site of an intron. The record is from Ensembl. Lineage: Eukaryota; Metazoa; Chordata; Mammalia; Rodentia; Caviidae.